RNAcentral lists this small RNA (77 nucleotides) under Sinorhizobium meliloti 2011. Its description in RNAcentral is "putative ncRNA". Lineage: Bacteria; Pseudomonadati; Pseudomonadota; Alphaproteobacteria; Hyphomicrobiales; Rhizobiaceae. The record is from RNAcentral.
GUCGAAAAUGGACAUCACCGGCGUUACGCGGCCCUCGAGCGUGUCGAUCGCGAUCCGCCAGAGGUCUUCGGCGCGUU